RNAcentral lists this ribosomal RNA (447 nucleotides) under uncultured bacterium. RNAcentral describes it as "bacterial SSU rRNA". It matches the Rfam family "Bacterial small subunit ribosomal RNA", at positions 328 to 792 of the family's 1533-position model. The record is from RNAcentral.
GGUCCAGACUCCUACGGGAGGCAGCAGUGGGGAAUAUUGCACAAUGGGGGAAACCCUGAUGCAGCGACGCCGCGUGAGUGAAGAAGCGCCUCGGCGCGUAAAGCUCUGUCAGCAGGAACGAUAAUGACGGUACCUGAAGAAGAAGCCCCGGCUAACUACGUGCCAGCAGCCGCGGUAAUACGUAGGGGGCAAGCGUUAUCCGGAUUUACUGGGUGUAAAGGGAGCGUAGACGGUAAUGCAAGUCUGGAGUGAAAGGCGGGGGCUCAACCCCCGGACUGCUCUGGAAACUGUGUAACUGGAGUGCAGGAGAGGCAGGCGGAAUUCCUAGUGUAGCGGUGAAAUGCGUAGAUAUUAGGAGGAACACCAGUGGCGAAGGCGGCCUGCUGGACUGUAACUGACGUUGAGGCUCGAAAGCGUGGGGAGCAAACAGGAUUAGAUACCCGCGUA